This 325-nucleotide ribosomal RNA is filed under the name uncultured eukaryote. RNAcentral's name for it is "partial 18S ribosomal RNA". It matches the Rfam family "Eukaryotic small subunit ribosomal RNA", at positions 1470 to 1796 of the family's 1831-position model. The record is from RNAcentral.
CCCUUAGAUGUUCUGGGCUGCAUGCGCGCUACACUGAUGCAUUCAACGAGCCUAUCCUUGACCGACAGGUCCGGGUAAUCUUUGAAUCUGCAUCGUGACGGGGAUAGAUUAUUGCAAUUAUUAAUCUUCAACGAGGAAUGCCUAGUAGGCGCAAGUCAUCAGCUUGCGUCGAUUACGUCCCUGCCCUUUGUACACACCGCCCGUCGCUCCUACCGAUUGGGUGUGCUGGUGAAAUGUUCGGAUCGGCCGUUUGUCGCGGUUUCCGCGUCAUGUGGCUGAGAAGUUCAUUAAACCCUCCCACCUAGAGGAAGGAGAAGUCGUAACA